UCGCGUCUGUCGUGAANUCCUCUGGCUUAACUGGGGGCUUGCGGUGGGUACGGGCCGGCUNGAGUGCGGUAGGGGAGACUGGAACUCCUGGUGUAGCGGUGGAAUGCGCAGAUAUCAGGAAGAACACCGGUGGCGAAGGCGGGUCUCUGGGCCGUUACUGACGCUGAGGAGCGAAAGCGUGGGGAGCGAACAGGAUUAGAUACCCUGGUAGUCCACGCCGUAAACGUUGGGCACUAGGUGUGGGGGGCCUUUUCCGGGUCUUCCGCGCCGUAGCUAACGCAUUAAGUGCCCCGCCUGGGGAGUACGGCCGCAAGGCUAAAACUCAAAGGAAUUGACGGGAGCCCGCACAAGCGGCGGAGCAUGCGGAUUAAUUCGAUGCAACGCGAAGAACCUUACCAAGGCUUGACAUGUGCCGGUCGGCUCCGGAGACGGGGUUUCCUCCUUGUGGGCCGGUUCACAGGUGGUGCAUGGUUGUCGUCAGCUCGUGUCGUGAGAUGUUGGGUUAAGUCCCGCAACGAGCGCAACCCUUGUCCCGUGUUGCCAGCACGUUGUGGUGGGGACUCGCGGGAGACUGCCGGGGUCAACUCGGAGGAAGGUGGGGAUGACGUCAAAUCAUCAUGCCCCUUAUGUCUUGGGCUUCACGCAUGCUACAAUGGCCGGUACAGAGAGCUGCGACACCGUGAGGUGGAGCGAAUCCCUUAAAGCCGGUCUCAGUUCGGAUCGGUGUCUGCAACUCGACACCGUGAAGUUGGAGUCGCUAGUAAUCGCAGAUCAGCAACGCUGCGGUGAAUACGUUCUCGGGCCUUGUACACACCGCCCGUCACGUCAUGAAAGUCGGCAAC
This 842-nucleotide ribosomal RNA is filed under the name uncultured bacterium. RNAcentral's name for it is "bacterial SSU rRNA". It matches the Rfam family "Bacterial small subunit ribosomal RNA", at positions 583 to 1418 of the family's 1533-position model. The record is from RNAcentral.